This 580-nucleotide ribosomal RNA is filed under the name uncultured bacterium. RNAcentral describes it as "bacterial SSU rRNA". It matches the Rfam family "Bacterial small subunit ribosomal RNA", at positions 338 to 916 of the family's 1533-position model. The record is from RNAcentral.
CCUACGGGAGGCAGCAGUAAGGAAUAUUGGACAAUGGACGCAAGUCUGAUCCAGCCAUGCCGCGUGAAGGAUUAAGGCCCUCUGGGUUGUAAACUUCUUUUAUAGGGGACGAAAAAAGGGCUUUCUAGCUCGACUGACGGUACCCUAUGAAUAAGCACCGGCUAACUCCGUGCCAGCAGCCGCGGUAAUACGGAGGGUGCAAGCGUUAUCCGGAUUCACUGGGUUUAAAGGGUGCGUAGGCGGGCAGUUAAGUCAGUGGUGAAAUCUUCGAGCUCAACUCGGAAACUGCCAUUGAUACUAUCUGUCUUGAAUAUUGUGGAGGUGAGCGGAAUAUGUCAUGUAGCGGUGAAAUGCUUAGAUAUGACAUAGAACACCGAUUGCGAAGGCAGCUCGCUACACAAAUAUUGACGCUGAGGCACGAAAGCGUGGGGAUCAAACAGGAUUAGAUACCCUGGUAGUCCACGCCCUAAACUAUGGAUACUCGACAUUUGCGAUACACAGUAAGUGUCUGAGCGAAAGCAUUAAGUAUCCCACCUGGGAAGUACGACCGCAAAGGUUGAAACUCAAAGGAAAUUGACGG